UGGCGCCACCUGGUGGUCAGACCACUUACUGUUGAACCCUCGUCAGCAGAAUGGGGACUGUCACGUGACAGGCUUUGAGGGGCACGUACGUGACAUGAUGAGGGGAGUUAAGGGGACUCCUUCAAAGCUCC
Molecule: long non-coding RNA, 131 nt
Organism: Amblyraja radiata (thorny skate)
Lineage: Eukaryota; Metazoa; Chordata; Chondrichthyes; Rajiformes; Rajidae
Exons: 3
Source: RefSeq, a predicted model, not a curated record